This 74-nucleotide microRNA precursor is filed under the name Haemonchus contortus (barber pole worm). RNAcentral describes it as "mir-1 microRNA precursor family". It matches the Rfam family "mir-1 microRNA precursor family". From Rfam's summary of the family: This family represents the microRNA (miRNA) mir-1 family. miRNAs are transcribed as ~70nt precursors (modelled here) and subsequently processed by the Dicer enzyme to give a ~22nt product. In this case the mature sequence comes from the 3' arm of the precursor. The extents of the hairpin precursors are not generally known and are estimated based on hairpin prediction. RNAcentral also lists the same sequence under 1 other name. The record is from Rfam by way of RNAcentral. Lineage: Eukaryota; Metazoa; Nematoda; Chromadorea; Rhabditida; Trichostrongylidae.
CUUCAGACUUCGUGCUUCUUUGCAUACCCAUACUGUAUUAGGAUAUGGAAUGUAAAGAAGUAUGUAGUUUGGCC